GACGAACCGUACGAACGUUAUUCGGAAUCACUGGGCUUAAAGGGUGCGUAGGCGGCGCUGAAAGUUGGGUGUGAAAUCCCUCGGCUCAACCGAGGAACUGCAUUCAAAACUACAGUGCUUGAGGGAGACAGAGGUGAGCGGAACUUAGGGUGGAGCGGUGAAAUGCGUUGAUAUCCUAAGGAACACCCGUGGCGAAAGCGGCUCACUGGGUCUCGUCUGACGCUGAGGCACGAAAGCUAGGGGAGCGAACGGG
RNAcentral lists this ribosomal RNA (253 nucleotides) under uncultured bacterium. RNAcentral describes it as "partial 16S ribosomal RNA". It matches the Rfam family "Bacterial small subunit ribosomal RNA", at positions 524 to 776 of the family's 1533-position model. The record is from RNAcentral.